GCGGGCGUGAUGGAAUGGUAGACAUAUCGGACUUAAAAUCCGUGGGCCGUCAGGCCGUGUGGGUUCGAGUCCCACCGCCCGCACCA
RNAcentral lists this transfer RNA (86 nucleotides) under Roseicyclus persicicus. RNAcentral describes it as "Roseibacterium sp. KMU-115 tRNA-Leu". It matches the Rfam family "tRNA". Rfam says of the family: Transfer RNA (tRNA) molecules are approximately 80 nucleotides in length. The record is from RNAcentral. Lineage: Bacteria; Pseudomonadati; Pseudomonadota; Alphaproteobacteria; Rhodobacterales; Roseobacteraceae.